CUACAGUAAAUAUAUUAUUAAUAUUAAUAAAUUAGAUUACACACUAUAAAGAUAAGCUAAAGUUUUAAUUUAUAUUACAAGCCCAAAUACUUUUCCUAUUCAACUAGAAACAACCUAAUAAUUAUUUAUUUGGGCCAAGAGUAUGAAGGAAAGGAUGAGGAAGCCCAAGCCCAAUUCCUUAGUAAAUCAGUUAGCUUCUAAUUAGAGUUAAUUUAUCAAUUAGAUAGAUAGAUUCAUUAAGUCAAAUUAGCUACUGGAAGAACACGUAUCCCUCAACUUUCCACGCAGCUUUUCAUAAACCGACUCCAAAUCAUAUAAAAUCUCUCCUCAGGAUUUUUCCUCAUUCUGCAAGAUCUUAAAUACACCGGCAAAAUACCAUCCCAAAUCCGACUCAACCACGAUCAUUUACAAUUCCCAGCAGUUCAUAGCAGCAUCAAGCAAAGCAGGUUAAGCUGUGAUGCAGAUGGAUGUCAGCAGAGCAAAGCUUUUGAUAUAUAAGCACUAAAUUAGGCUCAGGAUUCCAUGUCUUCAUACAUGUAAUCCACUUAAGCUAUUCCGCUGCAACGCUUAGUGCGUUUUACUUUAUUGAUGUGUUGCAAAGAUUUCAAACUAAUAGCUUACAGAAUUAUGUCACUUGAUACUUAGACAACUUGUCGUUAUGUAUUGCGAGUUGUCUGCUUUUGAGUUUUAGAAAAGAUUGUUUAUGAUUACCAAAUAUUUUGGUAAAUUAUUGUUUAAGCAUGUUAGUGAUUUUUAUUGAGAUCUAUUUUCUUUUUU
Molecule: long non-coding RNA, 777 nt
Organism: Salvia miltiorrhiza (redroot sage)
Lineage: Eukaryota; Viridiplantae; Streptophyta; Magnoliopsida; Lamiales; Lamiaceae
Exons: 2
Source: RefSeq, a predicted model, not a curated record